AUGGAACGCUGGCGGCAUGCCUUACACAUGCAAGUCGAGCGGCAGCGCGGGGGCAACCCUGGCGGCGAGCGGCGGACGGGUGAGUAAUGCAUCGGAACGUGUCCUCUUGUGGGGGAUAACCGGUCGAAAGACUGGCUAAUACCGCAUGAGCUCGUAAGAGGAAAGCAGGGGACCCGCAAGGGCCUUGCGCGAGAGGAGCGGCCGAUGCCCGAUUAGCUAGUUGGUGGGGAAAAGCCUACCAAGGCGACGAUCGGUAGCUGGUCUGAGAGGACGACCAGCCACACUGGGACUGAGACACGGCCCAGACUCCUACGGGAGGCAGCAGUGGGGAAUCUUGGACAAUGGGCGCAAGCCUGAUCCAGCCAUGCCGCGUGAGUGAAGAAGGCCUU
This 389-nucleotide ribosomal RNA is filed under the name uncultured bacterium. RNAcentral describes it as "bacterial SSU rRNA". It matches the Rfam family "Bacterial small subunit ribosomal RNA", at positions 31 to 418 of the family's 1533-position model. The record is from RNAcentral.